RNAcentral lists this ribosomal RNA (795 nucleotides) under Haloferax sp. RNAcentral's name for it is "bacterial SSU rRNA". It matches the Rfam family "Archaeal small subunit ribosomal RNA", at positions 69 to 865 of the family's 1478-position model. The record is from RNAcentral. Lineage: Archaea; Methanobacteriati; Methanobacteriota; Halobacteria; Halobacteriales; Haloferacaceae.
UUCAUACUCGUGGCGAAAAGCUCAGUAACACGUGGCCAAACUACCCUACAGAGAACGAUAACCUCGGGAAACUGAGGCUAAUAGUUCAUACGGGAGUCAUGCUGGAAUGCCGACUCCCCGAAACGCUCAGGCGCUGUAGGAUGUGGCUGCGGCCGAUUAGGUAGACGGUGGGGUAACGGCCCACCGUGCCGAUAAUCGGUACGGGUUGUGAGAGCAAGAGCCCGGAGACGGAAUCUGAGACAAGAUUCCGGGCCCUACGGGGCGCAGCAGGCGCGAAACCUUUACACUGCACGCAAGUGCGAUAAGGGGACCCCAAGUGCGAGGGCAUAUAGUCCUCGCUUUUCACGACUGUAAGGCGGUCGUGGAAUAAGAGCUGGGCAAGACCGGUGCCAGCCGCCGCGGUAAUACCGGCAGCUCAAGUGAUGACCGAUAUUAUUGGGCCUAAAGCGUCCGUAGCCGGCCACGAAGGUUCAUCGGGAAAUCCGCCAGCUCAACUGGCGGGCGUCCGGUGAAAACCACGUGGCUUGGGACCGGAAGGCUCGAGGGGUACGUCCGGGGUAGGAGUGAAAUCCCGUAAUCCUGGACGGACCACCGAUGGCGAAAGCACCUCGAGAAGACGGAUCCGACGGUGAGGGACGAAAGCUAGGGUCUCGAACCGGAUUAGAUACCCGGGUAGUCCUAGCUGUAAACGAUGCUCGCUAGGUGUGGCACAGGCUACGAGCCUGUGCUGUGCCGUAGGGAAGCCGAGAAGCGAGCCGCCUGGGAAGUACGUCCGCAAGGAUGAAACUAAAGAAU